RNAcentral lists this ribosomal RNA (482 nucleotides) under uncultured bacterium. Its description in RNAcentral is "bacterial SSU rRNA". It matches the Rfam family "Bacterial small subunit ribosomal RNA", at positions 28 to 507 of the family's 1533-position model. The record is from RNAcentral.
AAUGAACGUUGGCGGCGUGGAUUAGGCAUGCAAGUCGAGCGAGAAGCCUUAGUUUGACGCUUCGGUUGAUUUCUAAGGUGGAAAGCGGCGAAAGGGUGAGUAACGCGUAGUUACGUACCCCGGGGUCCGGAAUAGCUGCGGGAAACUGCAGGUAAUGCCGGAUGAUGUUUCCGAACCAAAGGUGAGAUCCCGCCCCGGGAGCGGACUGCGUCCUACUAGCUUGUUGGUGGGUAAAGGCCUACCAAGGCUUCGAUGGGUAGCGGGCGUGAGAGCGUGGCCCGCCACACUGGGACUGAGACACUGCCCAGACACCUACGGGUGGCUGCAGUCGAGAAUCUUCGGCAAUGCGCGAAAGCGUGACCGAGCGACGCCGCGUGCGGGAUGAAGGCCUUCGGGUUGUAAACCGCGGUCGGAGGGGAGGAAAUCCUUGGGGCGUUCCCCUUGGUUGACCUAUCCUCGACGAAGGACGGGCUAAGUUCGUG